This 229-nucleotide ribosomal RNA is filed under the name uncultured bacterium. RNAcentral describes it as "partial 16S ribosomal RNA". It matches the Rfam family "Bacterial small subunit ribosomal RNA", at positions 568 to 796 of the family's 1533-position model. The record is from RNAcentral.
UGCGUAGGCGGGCUAAUAAGUCAGUGGUGAAAUCUCUCGGCUCAACCGGGAAACUGCCACUGAUACUGUUAGUCUUGAGUUCGGUUGAGGUAGGCGGAAUGUGUAAUGUAGCGGUGAAAUGCUUAGAUAUUACACAGAACACCAAUUGCGUAGGCAGCUUACUAGACCGACACUGACGCUGAGGCACGAAAGCGUGGGGAGCGAACAGGAUUAGAUACCCUGGUAGUCC